This 492-nucleotide ribosomal RNA is filed under the name uncultured bacterium. RNAcentral describes it as "partial 16S ribosomal RNA". It matches the Rfam family "Bacterial small subunit ribosomal RNA", at positions 29 to 507 of the family's 1533-position model. The record is from RNAcentral.
AGUGAACGCUGGCGGUAGGCCUAACACAUGCAAGUCGAACGGCAGCACAGUAAGAGCUUGCUCUUACGGGUGGCGAGUGGCGGACGGCUGAGGAAUACAUCGGAAUCUACUUUUUCGUGGGGGAUAACGUAGGGAAACUUACGCUAAUACCGCAUACGACCUACGGGUGAAAGCAGGGGAUCUUCGGACCUUGCGCGAUUGAAUGAGCCGAUGUCGGAUUAGCUAGUUGGCGGGGUAAAGGCCCACCAAGGCGACGAUCCGUAGCUGGUCUGAGAGGAUGAUCCGCCACACUGGAACUGAGACACGGUCCAGACUCCUACGGGGAGCAGCAGUGGGGAAUAUUGGACAAGGGGGGAAAGCCUGAUCCAGCCAUACCGCGUGGGUGAAGAAGGACUUCGGGUUGUAAAGCCCUUUUGUUGGGAAAGAAAAGCAGCAGGUUAAUACCCCGCUGUUCUGACGGUACCCAAAGAAUAAGCACCGGCUAACUUCGUG